This 253-nucleotide ribosomal RNA is filed under the name uncultured Simkania sp. Its description in RNAcentral is "partial 16S ribosomal RNA". It matches the Rfam family "Bacterial small subunit ribosomal RNA", at positions 524 to 776 of the family's 1533-position model. The record is from RNAcentral. Lineage: Bacteria; Pseudomonadati; Chlamydiota; Chlamydiia; Parachlamydiales; Simkaniaceae.
UACGGAGGGUGCAAGCAUUGAUCGGAAUUACUGGGCGUAAAGGGCGCGUAGGCGGUCGAACCAGUCAGAUGUGAAAUUCCGGGGCUCAACCCCGGAGCUGCAUUUGAAACUAGUCGACUCGAGUUCAGUUAGGGAAAACGGAAUUCCACGUGUAGCGGUGAAAUGCGUAGAUAUGUGGAAGAACACCGGUGGUGAAGACGGUUUUCUGGGCUGAUACUGACGCUGAGGCGCGAAAGCUAGGGGAGCAAACAGG